GGUUCCGUAGCUCAGUCGGUAGAGCAGGGGACUGAAAAUCCCCGUGUCGGUGGUUCGAUUCCGCCCGGAACCA
This is a transfer RNA of Clostridiales bacterium CHKCI006, 73 nucleotides long. It matches the Rfam family "tRNA". Rfam says of the family: Transfer RNA (tRNA) molecules are approximately 80 nucleotides in length. Their secondary structure includes four short double-helical elements and three loops (D, anti-codon, and T loops). NCBI's taxonomy places the organism in Bacteria, Bacillati, Bacillota, Clostridia, Eubacteriales. The record is from Rfam.